UGGGGAAUUUUGGACAAUGGGCGCAAGCCUGAUCCAGCCAUGCCGCGUGCGGGAAGAAGGCCUUCGGGUUGUAAACCGCUUUUGUCAGGGAAGAAAUCUUCUGAGUUAAUACCUCGGGAGGAUGACGGUACCUGAAGAAUAAGCACCGGCUAACUACGUGCCAGCAGCCGCGGUAAUACGUAGGGUGCAAGCGUUAAUCGGAAUUACUGGGCGUAAAGCGUGCGCAGGCGGUUUUGUAAGACAGAGGUGAAAUCCCCGGGCUCAACCUGGGAACUGCCUUUGUGACUGCAAGGCUUGAGUGCGGCAGAGGGGGAUGGAAUUCCGCGUGUAGCAGUGAAAUGCGUAGAUAUGCGGAGGAACACCGAUGGCGAAGGCAAUCCCCUGGGCCUGCACUGACGCUCAUGCACGAAAGCGUGGGGAGCAAACAGGAUUAGAUAGCCCUGGUAGUCCACGCCCUAAACGAUGUCAACUGGUUGUUGGGAAGGUUCCUUCUCAGUAACGUAGCUAACGCGUGAAGUUGACCGCCUGGGGAGUACGGCCGCAAGGUUGAAACUCAAAGGAAUUGACGGGGG
This 572-nucleotide ribosomal RNA is filed under the name uncultured bacterium. Its description in RNAcentral is "partial 16S ribosomal RNA". It matches the Rfam family "Bacterial small subunit ribosomal RNA", at positions 355 to 919 of the family's 1533-position model. The record is from RNAcentral.